This 182-nucleotide non-coding RNA is filed under the name Opitutaceae bacterium EW11. Its description in RNAcentral is "6S / SsrS RNA". It matches the Rfam family "6S / SsrS RNA". From Rfam's summary of the family: E. coli 6S RNA was the first non coding RNA to be sequenced, but its function was unknown until recently. It consists of 184 nucleotides that fold into an extended hairpin structure with a large single-stranded internal bulge. The record is from Rfam by way of RNAcentral. Lineage: Bacteria; Pseudomonadati; Verrucomicrobiota; Opitutia; Opitutales; Opitutaceae.
GAUCCUCUGCAGUGUACGAGGUGCUUUCAUUAACCGCUCUUUGCCUUUGAUAUAUUCCGGGAGCUGAACCCGCCGUGGAAGCUGCUAGGCCGUAAAUCGGAAAGCAAACGCUGCGGAGGAGGCGCCCACCUUAACCUAAAAAGGACUAGAGCCUUUGGGCAUACGGCACAGGCGGAGGAUCA